Long non-coding RNA from Aethalodelphis obliquidens (Pacific white-sided dolphin), 1659 nucleotides. RefSeq lists it as uncharacterized. NCBI's taxonomy places the organism in Eukaryota, Metazoa, Chordata, Mammalia, Artiodactyla, Delphinidae. The record is from RefSeq and is a predicted model, not a curated record. The transcript has 4 exons.
UCCAUCUCCGCCAUCUCCCCCGUCUCCCCUCCCGUCCACCCCCACCCCUCCUCCGCCAGCCGCGUCCUCCCGGGCUCGGUGAGGAACUGUUCCUGGAGGAGCCGCGGGACGCCGAAACCAGCCAAUGGGAAGCAGGGAGACGCGGAGAUUGGCACUGUAGAUGGGAAGUGGGUUCCUGGCUCAUCUGUUGAUGCAGUGCCAGAAGUGAGCUGCAGAACAGGAGUUACUGGAGAUGACAGUGACCGUGAGUCCUGAAGGAGGAAUAUUGAUCUCAGCGUUACUUUGACCAUUAAUGAAUUAUGAUGGCAAUAAGCAGAGACGCACACCUCCAGCCUCCUGGGAGCUUAAUCUUCUGCUACAGCGUUUGCAUUUCAACCUACAAAGAAAGCUCCAAAGAAAGACGAGCUUGUGAACUGACUGAACUGCAAGCAGAAGAAUCCUGUUUGUAGUCCUCGAUGUCAAGAAUGUGUUUACACCGUGGCCUAAUGCUCUGAACCUUUGUGUGUGAGUUCAGGGAUUCAGGACAUAUGAAGGCCACCACGUAGUGGCGUGUGACAGGUCUGAAGCUCCCCAGUAGAAGCACUUGGGCUAAACGUGCCAUAAGACUUCAGUCAACACCAGCCCCCAAAGUCACUGAACUCCGUGACAUCAUGCCCAGGCAGGAAGAGUCAAUAGGCCUCUGGCACGUCCUCCGGUUCCUAACCCAUGGACAAUAUUUAGAAAGCAGCGCUGGGCUCAGGCAGCCCUCUCAAUUACUUUGGCGGGAACCUUCCAGAGUACAUUUUGCUACCUCUUUGUGAUGUAAACAGGGGGGCUCACAGUUGCCAGGGGAUGUUCUUUCUGUUUUAAUUAUGCAAGGCAUAAUUAUAGUUCCAGGGUCUGGAAGCAGCAGAGAGUUCUUUGGAGAACUUCACAGGGAUUUUUCUGUUAUGACAUAGUUUUAUCUGGAAAAAAAAAAGUAAGGCAAAAGUCAUUUCCAAAGAGGAAAAAAUAACACUAUUCAUGCUAGUGUUCCAUUCCAUAUUGAGUAGAUCACGAAAUUGGAGUAGACAUUUUUUGGGAACGGGGGUGUCUGAAAGUGUUGAACUCAUAUAAUGGUGGGAAAAUCUGGAUAAAUACUGAUGAAUGGAUGUGGAUGGAGAAGGAUAUAAAAAUAAAUGUUUUUAUUUAGGAAAGCAAUAAUGAAGCAUCCAGCCGUAUCUGAGUGAAUUUGUUAGUACCCUGCGCCCUGGGGAUACGGAAAAAGAUUUCACCAUAGUAAUAGUAAUCUGGCCUGAACCUGAGUCAUAAAAUUCCUCCUGCCCCCAGAUGUUCAGUUAGAGGGCACUUUGUUACUCUGCUGAUGUAGCGAGAAAUCGCAGAACUGCCAGGGUAAUGGAGAGAACAGUGACAGGUGGAGCGCUAAGGCUGUUUCUCUGUUAUGAAACAUGUUUUUAUGGGUAAUUCUGAUGUACGGUAGGUAUUAAAUAGAGCACCUGAGAGAUGUUUUAUUUCAGAUUAAUGCUAGAGUGAUAUUUUCCCCAUGGCACUAAUAAUCCGGCAGCUUUCACAAGCCCGUUUUGCCUCGCAGUUCCUCACAAGCUCUGUCUGUUGUGGCAUAAGGGUGAGCGCUUGAAUCAAAAUUUCUGCCUUACAGGGCUUCCCUGGUGGCGCAGUGGU